GGACGUGUAGCUCAGUUGGAUAGAGCAUCGGUUUCCUAAACCGGAGGUCAUAAGUUCGAAUCUUAUCACGUCUG
RNAcentral lists this transfer RNA (74 nucleotides) under Flavobacteriaceae bacterium. RNAcentral's name for it is "tRNA-Arg". It matches the Rfam family "tRNA". From Rfam's summary of the family: Transfer RNA (tRNA) molecules are approximately 80 nucleotides in length. Their secondary structure includes four short double-helical elements and three loops (D, anti-codon, and T loops). Further hydrogen bonds mediate the characteristic L-shaped molecular structure. tRNAs have two regions of fundamental functional importance: the anti-codon, which is responsible for specific mRNA codon recognition, and the 3' end, to which the tRNAs corresponding amino acid is attached (by aminoacyl-tRNA synthetases). tRNAs cope with the degeneracy of the genetic code in two manners: having more than one tRNA (with a specific anti-codon) for a particular amino acid; and 'wobble' base-pairing, i.e. permitting non-standard base-pairing at the 3rd anti-codon position. The record is from RNAcentral. Lineage: Bacteria; Pseudomonadati; Bacteroidota; Flavobacteriia; Flavobacteriales; Flavobacteriaceae.